RNAcentral lists this ribosomal RNA (447 nucleotides) under uncultured bacterium. Its description in RNAcentral is "partial 16S ribosomal RNA". It matches the Rfam family "Bacterial small subunit ribosomal RNA", at positions 29 to 523 of the family's 1533-position model. The record is from RNAcentral.
AACGAACGCUGGCGGCAGGCUUAACACAUGCAAGUCGAACGCCCCGCAAGGGGAGUGGCAGACGGGUGAGUAACGCGUGGGAAUCUACCGUACCCUACGGAACAACAGUUGGAAACGACUGCUAAUACCGUAUACGCCCUACGGGGGAAAGAUUCAUCGGGGUAUGAUGAGCCUGCGUUGGAUUAGCUAGGUGGUGGGGUAAAGGCCUACCAAGGCGACGAUCCAUAGCUGGUCUGAGAGGAUGAUCAGCCACAUUGGGACUGAGACACGGCCCAAACUCCUACGGGAGGCAGCAGUGGGGAAUAUUGGACAAUGGGCGCAAGCCUGAUCCAGCCAUGCCGCGUGAGUGAUGAAGGUCUUAGGAUUGUAAAGCUCUUUCACCGAUGAAGAUAAUGACGGUAGUCGGAGAAGAAGCCCCGGCUAACUUCGUGCCAGCAGCCGCCGUAA